RNAcentral lists this ribosomal RNA (346 nucleotides) under uncultured bacterium. RNAcentral describes it as "bacterial SSU rRNA". It matches the Rfam family "Bacterial small subunit ribosomal RNA", at positions 335 to 698 of the family's 1533-position model. The record is from RNAcentral.
ACUCCUACGGGAGGCAGCAGCAGGGAAUUUUGCGCAAUGGGCGAAAGCCUGACGCAGCAACGCCGCGUGGGGGAUGAAGGCUCUCGGGUCGUAAACCCCUUUUGCCGGGGAAGAUAAUGACGGUACCCGGCGAAUAAGCCGCGGCUAACUACGUGCCAGCAGCCGCGGUAAUACGAGGGGGGCAAGCGUUGUUCGGAUUUAUUGGGCGUAAAGGGUGCGUAGGCGGUUUGAUAAGUCUGAUGUGAAAUCUAUGGGCUCAACCCAUAGUCUGCAUUAGAAACUGUCGGGCUUGAGUAUGGGAGAGGUGAGUGGAAUUUCCGGUGUAGCGGUGAAAUGCGUAGAGAUC